This 433-nucleotide ribosomal RNA is filed under the name uncultured bacterium. RNAcentral's name for it is "partial 16S ribosomal RNA". It matches the Rfam family "Bacterial small subunit ribosomal RNA", at positions 29 to 507 of the family's 1533-position model. The record is from RNAcentral.
AGCGAACGCUGGCGGCAGGCCUAACACAUGCAAGUCGAACGAACUCUUCGGAGUUAGCGUCGGACGGGUGAGUAACACGUCGGAACGUGCCUUUAGGUUCGGCAUAACUCAGGGAAACUUGUGCUAAUAACGAAUGUGCCCUUCGGGGGAAAGAUUUCUCGCCGUUAGAGCGGCCCGAAUCUGAUUCGCUAGUUGGUGAGGUAAAGGCUCACCAAGGCCAGGAUUAGUAGCUGGUCUGAGAGGCUGAUCAGCCACAUUGGGACUGAGACACGGCCCGAACUCUUACGCGAGGCAGCAGAGGGGAAUCUUGCGCAAUGGGCGAAAGCCUGACGCAGCCAUGCCGCGUAAAUGAUGAAAGUCUUAGGAUUGUAAAAUUCUUUCACCGGAGACAAUAAUGACGGUACCUGAAGAAAAAGCCCCGGCUAACUCCGUG